CAACAGCCUCCAAUCAGGACACAUCUGACACCUUCUGUUUUUUCUAUCUUAGAGUGGAAAAGCUUUCCCUCUCCUCUGCCAGUCUUUGAGUCUCUGCCAAAAAGCAAGAGAUGGUGGCUGCCUUCUUUGCAGUUUCAAACUCUGACUCUUCUAGUAGCUGCAACAUCCAGUAAUGAGUGAAGGUGAUGCGUGGGAUCCUACGGUUCUCUCAAAGAGGGGACAUGCUGUGCUGCGGAAGGAGAAAAAAGAGAUCUAUGGACAUAAUUUACACAGGACCCCCGAGGGUAAUUAAGCCAGCAAUUCUUUUGCCAGUAAAAUGAGAAAAACCAGCUCUCAGUAAAUUCUGAAUUCCACUAUGGAUGUUGCAGAAACAGAACUAAAAACAGCUGCAGUUUAUCUGUGCUGCCGAAUUGACUGUAAUUUGCUGCUACCCUCACCCUUACCACAUAGCAAUCAGUGUACAGAAGUGCAGAAUUUUAAGAUGAUGAAUGUUUUAUUUCUUAAAAUAAACAGUAGCAAUUUAGCAACAUAGUUAUGUAUUUUACAUUUUUUAUAUAGUAAAAGUAUAUUGGAAACUUCCUCAGUGUCAAAAAUCCUUACAUGCACUUGUCAAAAAUAUCAAGAUGACAAGCUAAUAUGGAAUUCAGAUUUAAAUAAUAGACUUCUCAGAUACAUCCCAUGAAUCUUCUGGUUGUUUUGUUUGCACUGACCAAGAGAUGCCUAUUGCCUACCCCUAGUCUGGUAUUUUAAGAUUGUCAGAAAUAGUCACGCAGUCCAAAAGUUAGGACUAGGGUUUUUUCUUUUGUUUGUUUGUUUUUUCAACAAGUUAACUUUUUCUCAGCCUAGCAAACGCCAGUCACCAAAUGAGUUUCUUUGCUUGGAAUCAUUUCCUCAGUCCAGUAUCUGCUUUCCAUGGUUGUAGUAC
Molecule: long non-coding RNA, 925 nt
Filed under: Homo sapiens (human)
Lineage: Eukaryota; Metazoa; Chordata; Mammalia; Primates; Hominidae
Description: HSALNT0356336
Source: RNAcentral